UAGAGACUUAGGCUAAUCUAAACCGAGGGCCUUCAAAGCCCUAAAUAAGAGACAUCCUCUUAGUCCCUGAC
Molecule: transfer RNA, 71 nt
Filed under: Diporiphora bennettii
Lineage: Eukaryota; Metazoa; Chordata; Lepidosauria; Squamata; Agamidae
Description: tRNA-Trp
Source: RNAcentral